Molecule: transfer RNA, 89 nt
Filed under: Bacteroidales bacterium
Lineage: Bacteria; Pseudomonadati; Bacteroidota; Bacteroidia; Bacteroidales
Description: tRNA-Ser
Rfam family: tRNA
About the family: Transfer RNA (tRNA) molecules are approximately 80 nucleotides in length. Their secondary structure includes four short double-helical elements and three loops (D, anti-codon, and T loops).
Source: RNAcentral
GGAGAGGUGACCGAGUGGCUUAAGGUGCACGCCUGGAAAGUGUGUGUCCCGCCACAGCGGGACCGAGGGUUCGAAUCCCUCUCUCUCCG